RNAcentral lists this ribosomal RNA (268 nucleotides) under uncultured microorganism. Its description in RNAcentral is "partial 16S ribosomal RNA". It matches the Rfam family "Archaeal small subunit ribosomal RNA", at positions 330 to 596 of the family's 1478-position model. The record is from RNAcentral.
GCGCAGCAGGCGCGAAACUUCACAAUGUGCGAAAGCACGAUGAGGGAAUCCCAAGUGGCUUGGCACGUAAGUGUAAGCUGUUUCUCUGUCUAAAACGCAGAGAGAGUAAGGGCUGGGUAAGACGGGUGCCAGCCGGCCGCGGUAAUACCUGCAGCUCGAGUGGUGACCGUUAUUAUUGGGGCCUAAAACGUCCGUAGCCGGUUUAAUAAAUGCCUGGGUAAAUCGGACCGCUUAACGGUUCGAAUUCCGGGUAGACUGUUAAACUUGG